UGCGUGGGAAUGCUCAGAUGGGACCGGGGCGGAGGGUCCUGGCCAGACAAAGAAGUGAGCACCUUGGGCGCUCCAGCUGUGGCUGAACUACAACUCUAGCAUCCCAGGCACACAUGUUGGAAGUGGGUGCUGAGAGAUGUGUUUCUGCCACAGCUGGAGUGCCCAUUCCUUUGUCUCUUCCUUAAAACUUAGCCCUUACAGCGUUACUGGCACAAUGGUGCGUGAAUGAUAAUGGCUGGUACAGUGCUGCCUGCAUGGUGAUAGUGGGCUGUAGGUGAGGGUGCCUAUUGACUGCAUGGUGAGGGUGCCUAUGGGCUGUAGGUGAGGGUGCCUAUUGACUGCAUGGUGUGGGUGCCUAUGGGCUGUAGGUGAGGGUGCCUAUUGACUGCAUGGUGAGGGUGCCUAUGGGCUGUAGGUGAGGGUGCCUAUUGACUGCAUGGUGAGGGUGCCUAUGGGCUGUAGGUGAGGGUGCCUAUUGACUGCAUGGUGAGGGUGCCUAUGGGCUGUAGGUGAGGGUGCCUAUUGACUGCAUGGUGAGGGUGCUAGUGGGCUGUAGGUGAGGGUGCCUAUGGGCUGUAGGUGAGGGUGCCAAUGGGCUGCAUGGUGAGGGUGCCAAUGGGCUGCAUGGUGAGGGUGCCAAUGGGCUGCAUGGUGAGGGUGCCUAUGGGCUGUAGGUGAGGGUGCCAAUGGGCUGCAUGGUGAGGGUGGUACUAUUGUUGGCAUUGCUGCAGACUGUGAAUGAAUGGUGCCCCCUGUGCUUGUACCCCGGCACUAACCGGUGCUCCAUUGUGUCUCCCCCUCCCAG
Molecule: long non-coding RNA, 805 nt
Organism: Xenopus tropicalis (tropical clawed frog)
Lineage: Eukaryota; Metazoa; Chordata; Amphibia; Anura; Pipidae
Exons: 2
Source: RefSeq, a predicted model, not a curated record